ACUGGCCUUGAAAUCAUGGGCUACCUGCCUUAGCUACCUAUAUGCUGAAGUUAGAGGAAUGUGUCACCAUACCUGCCUAAAAACAAUGUUCUUAACAUUUUUACAAAGAAAAUCGGAGUCUCUUACAUUGGGUGUCAUUUAUUAAAUAAGGAAUACAGUGGUUUCAGAAAAACCUUGAUUAAGCAUUCAUUAGUUGACGAGUAAAUUAUAUUGAUGAUUUUAACUUUUUAAACCACUUUCUCCAACCUUCUAGGAAAAACUUGUAUCAUUCUACUUUACAGUUUAGAAAACUAAGCAUGGACUGGAGAGUCGGCUCAGUGGUCAACAGGACAUCCUGCAUUCGCAGAGAAGCCGAGUUUUGUUCCCAGCUGUUCACAUUUACCUGACAAAUUUUUUUGAUACCAGCUGGAAUACUCACAAUGAAGAUUCAUUGAAA
Molecule: long non-coding RNA, 436 nt
Organism: Peromyscus leucopus (white-footed mouse)
Lineage: Eukaryota; Metazoa; Chordata; Mammalia; Rodentia; Cricetidae
Exons: 2
Source: RefSeq, a predicted model, not a curated record